GGCAGAGGAAGCUCAUCAACGGGGCCACGUGCUGAGUGCCCAUCACUCUCCAGCCCCUGGGAAGGUCUGAGACUGGGGCCUCCUACGGCCCUAACCGGGCCCUCCCCUAGCGGGGAGGUGAGUUCCCAGAGAGCACCCAACCUUGUUUGUAAGACAGGGUUUCUUUGUAUAGCCCUGACUGUCCUGAAACUCACUGUGUAGACCGGACUGGCCUUGAAUUCACAGAGAUUUACAUGCAUCUGUCUCCAGAGUGCU
Molecule: RNase P RNA, 255 nt
Filed under: Mesocricetus auratus (golden hamster)
Lineage: Eukaryota; Metazoa; Chordata; Mammalia; Rodentia; Cricetidae
Description: Nuclear RNase P
Rfam family: Nuclear RNase P
About the family: Ribonuclease P (RNase P) is a ubiquitous endoribonuclease, found in archaea, bacteria and eukarya as well as chloroplasts and mitochondria. Its best characterised activity is the generation of mature 5'-ends of tRNAs by cleaving the 5'-leader elements of precursor-tRNAs.
Source: Rfam by way of RNAcentral